GGUCUCUUAGUUUAACGGUAAAACUAUGGAUCUUCAUUCUAUAGACGGGGGUUCGACUCCCCCAGAGAUCA
Phalaenopsis equestris is the source of this 71-nucleotide non-coding RNA. The record is from the annotation of a RefSeq genome assembly. NCBI's taxonomy places the organism in Eukaryota, Viridiplantae, Streptophyta, Magnoliopsida, Asparagales, Orchidaceae.